UACGGGAGGCAGCAGGGGGAAUAUUGCACAAUGGGCGCAAGCCUGAUGCAGCCAUGCCGCGUGUAUGAAGAAGGCCUUCGGGUUGUAAAGUACUUUCAGUCGUGAGGAAGGUGUUAAGGUUAAUAACCUUAGCAAUUGACGUUAGCGACAGAAGAAGCACCGGCUAACUCCGUGCCAGCAGCCGCGGUAAUACGGAGGGUGCGAGCGUUAAUCGGAAUUACUGGGCGUAAAGGGCACGCAGGCGGUUAAUUAAGUUGGAUGUGAAAUCCCCGGGCUUAACCUGGGAAUGGCAUUCAAGACUGGUUAGCUAGAGUCUUGUAGAGGGGGUAGAAUUCCAUGUGUAGCGGUGAAAUGCGUAGAGAUGUGGAGGAAUACCGGUGGCGAGGCGGCCCCUGGACAAGACUGACGCUCAUGUGCGAAAGCGUGGGGAGCAAACGAGGGAUUAGAUA
Molecule: ribosomal RNA, 449 nt
Filed under: uncultured bacterium
Lineage: Bacteria
Description: bacterial SSU rRNA
Rfam family: Bacterial small subunit ribosomal RNA
Source: RNAcentral